CCAAAGGACUGCCCUUGUGAAAAUUCUGGAUCAGCCAGCUUGGGGUAGCUGUGAAGAUGAGUAGCAUCCUAGAUAUGCGAUACUGCAUGCCAAAAAACAGAGAUCUGUAGGUUGCUCUGAUGAGCUGAAUGACCCAGAAGAUAAAAGAGGAAGGUUGGGAUCAUUGUAGAACCAAUGAGAAACCAGCAAGGAACUGAGCUUGGCUCCCUGGCUCACAUAGACAUGGAACAGAGAUCACAAAUGUGAGUGGAGGAGCCAGACUUUUCAUAUAAGCACAUAAGCAUCUGCGAUUUAUACAACUCCUUGGGAGGGAAAGCUUAUGGUUUCUUAAGGCUCUGGAAAUGUGAAUUCUAGGAAGCCUACUUGCUUCUUUAAGAUCAUGAGAACCUAGCUGACCUGAAAGCCACACUUAACACUCAAUGCAACCUUGGCAUUUUCUUCCUUAGAUGGAAAACUUGUGAAGUUGGCUGAUCCAAGAAUAGAUUCAAAUUCUUCAGCCAAGAGUCUAGACCAACUGACUUUUUCCACCUCGUUGCCUAAUUGGGUGCUAAGUACUGGCAAGUUAUUAGAUGAUUCCAAAGCUCAUGUUCUUCACCUGGAAAACGGAAAUCAUAAAUCCAAAGGAAUGAUGUCACACAGAUUGAAUGAGAUUUGCGUGUGAAGAGGCCAGCAAACAGGAGCGGGAAUGCCAGCACGCCUGACAAAGCCUUAUCUGAAAAUAUGUUCGAGAUCCGUGCUCCUGCCGGGUUUCAGGGAUCAGCCGGCAAUCCAUUUCAUGGAUAACAUCAUCCUUUACCAGGGGAAACAUUAAAAAUUAACCCAGAGGACUUCAUAUUUUUCUGCUAGGAGCAAAGCUGCUAUGGUUACCAGAUAAUGCACCGACUGAGCUGGAAUACAGAUAAGGACUUUUUUUUUUUUUUUUUUAAAUAUAAGAAAGGCAAAGGCCCCAGUGAUGGCUCACAAGAGAAAUGCCCUGUGGACAAAGAGAAUACAGUCAGCCUCAGAGCUUGGCAGAAGGCGUUUGACUCCAGGCAGUAUCUAACCUAUUAAGUAGAGGCCAGGAGCUUGUUUGAUCUUUGCCCGGAUGAGGAAGGCAGGGAGGGGGUGUUGGGAGAAGUGGGAGGCAAAGCUAGGAGGAACUUGGAAGUAUGGGUGCACCCCUAGACCCCAUUUCUCACCACACUCUCACACAAUGCACACUUACAUGCACAUACAUGUACUACUCAUUGACUUUAGAAGGCUUUACGCUAAUGCCAAAGGUCUUCUCUCCACCUCUAGCUACUUGAUGUGACCAAGCCAAGACUCCCUGAUUCUUACAGAGGAUAUGGGCACCCUGUGGGCAGACGCCAGGGCAGGCCACUAGAGAGCUGCGACAGGCAUUGACCUUCCUGCCUCUAACAUCCAGGCCCUUGGGGAGAAACUUCAAGAGGAUUAGAGGUCAGAGAAGUUGUUGGCUUUACCUCAGGUGAGAGUAUCCCAUGUUUCUGUCUAUCCUGCGUGAGAUAGGAAGGCCACGGGUAGAUGGAUGUGAACUCAGAUGGGCUGGGGAGGGGAAGCUGGAAGAGCCCAUGAUAAUCAGGCAAUGGUAUUCUUGGUUUUGAGCCUCAAGAGGUGAGAUGUUUGCAUCUUAUUAGAUCCAGCAAAUUGCGGGGAGGCUCAAGAAAUAAGUUCCAGGGUGUUAAGGAGCUCUAUGUGUGGGCUGUGCCACUAGCUCCCUGGGUGAAAUUGAGCAAGUCUCUUUCUCUCUCUGGCCUCCGUUUUCUCUGCUGAAAAGUACAUGGCUGGGAGUAGAUGGUCCAUAGUUCCUUCCUGCUGCAAACACCUGUACACCUUGGAGGGGAAGUGAUAUUCAGACGUAUCCGAAAAACACAGGGGAGAAGCCUAGGCUCACUGGGCCGGGAACAUGACCCUAAUCCCAGAGCCGGGCAGGGUGCAGCCCCUUCCUGGACCUGAUGACAAGAAAGCAGGGGGCACUGCCCCUCCAAGGACAGCCAGGAACACAGCCUGCUUCCACCCCAUGCUUAUUUUACUGCUUCCCACUACUUUCCCAAUAACCAUUUACUGAGCCCCUACUGUGUGCUAUCCUCAUUUUUGUCUCUGCACAGGAGUUAUCUGGGAACCUUCAUGGGAAUUACCAGAGGGUAGAACCUGUGUCUGCACUGUCUUGUGUUCCAAGGCCCAGCAUAGAGAACACUUGUUUUACUAAACUUCAGGUUGAGAGUCAGCUGUGUGGGGAAUGGAAGGGGUUGCUAGGCAGGCCUGUAGCCUUGCCAUGGAGUCAUGGGAGUCACCUUACACUUCUGGUCUGUUCUUUCUAGGUUCUUUAUAUGAGAAAAGGAGCCAAGAUCCCAGCUUGUGUCUAGGUUUGGACCAGAGCCUUCAGGGGAACAAAGGUCCUUAGGACCAGUAGAUCAGAAGCAGGGAGGCUGGCUGGUGGGGUCAGGGCCCUGAGGUCCAGCCACCUCCACCUCAGGAAGAGUAUUUGCUCUAGAAUGUCAGCUAGGAGCUUUCUGCCCAGGCUCAGCUUACAUCCAUCAGUGCCGCGUUGAUGUAAUUGCUGGAUUCUCCGUCCACCGAGAUGAGGAAGGGCAGGCAGCGGUCCAGAGGCAGCACGUCCAUGCUUCGAUUCUUAUCAUGGUUCCGGGGCAGGAGCCCAAUGCUGCAGUCCUCGGGCCUCACACGGGGUGUCACAAUGUUGAGGGUCUGUGGGGCACAAAGGUGAAUAGAUAGGCCUUGAUCAUACGGCUGCCCCGAGCAAAAGAGACAGUGAUGUUCCAACUCAGCCUAACUUGCCUAUUUCCACCCUCCAAGUGCAGCCCCACUGUCCCUUUCCCAGGACCCAUUUCUCUUCCAUGGUGAUGUUCUGUCCUCUCCUGCUCACUGCUACAGGGUGCGUGAGCUGUGUGACACCUUCAAAACGCUAAGGCUGCAGAAGCAGCGCAUGCACACAGAGGCUCAGACACAGUCUCGUGGUACCUGCCAACCAGAGGAACUAAGUGGUUCAGCUUAGCCAGUGCUGCAUUAAAGGGUGGGCCAGCCAGGAGGGUGUACAGAGGGGCGGGGGUAGGAAAUCCCCACUGAGGGCUAAACAUCACUUGCAUUGUCAUGGAAUGGGGGAAAUGAUUUACCAGCACUCUUCUCAGAGAGAAAGCUGUCUGAGUAUGGAAGGAGGCCUAGAUGAACUGCUCAGGAUAGAUGAGAGACCCCCGAAGGGCAAACCCUAAUAUGUCUGGGAAAUUGCUGUGUUUGGGUUCUGGUUUGAGGCCAGAGCUGAACUGCUGUAUCCAAUGGACUAGAUGUUACACGCAAUGACUAGAGUUCUGUACCCUCCAUCCUUCCGUCAUUCAGCUCUCUGUCUCUAAUUCAAAUCAAUAAUGGUUAUUUGUUUUAGGGAUUGCUAAGGUAUUGGCCUGCCUAGGAUAUCUGCCCGUGGAACAAUGGGCCUGGCAUUUGCCCACUGACUUGAAGCAAGACCUGGAGCUUCCUUGCUUUCUCAUACCUCGUUCUCAGCUCCUAUUGCCCAGGUGUAAUCCUGACACUGGUCUUGCGAUAAAGGGCUGGACUCCGGCUUUACCUUACUUAGUGAUUCAUGUCCAGGCUUCUUAGACCAAUCAAUGUUGCCACAGCACUGACCAUACGGGCUUCCAGGUGAGGAUCUUAUUUAUUUUUUAUUAUACUUUA
Molecule: non-coding RNA, 3681 nt
Organism: Macaca mulatta (Rhesus monkey)
Lineage: Eukaryota; Metazoa; Chordata; Mammalia; Primates; Cercopithecidae
Source: RefSeq, a predicted model, not a curated record